RNAcentral lists this unclassified non-coding RNA (373 nucleotides) under soil metagenome. Its description in RNAcentral is "partial contains 5.8S ribosomal RNA, internal transcribed spacer 2, and large subunit ribosomal RNA". The stretch from base 1 to 121 matches the Rfam family "5.8S ribosomal RNA", at positions 35 to 154 of the family's 154-position model. The record is from RNAcentral.
GAUGAAGAACGUAGCGAAAUGCGAUAAGUAAUGCGAAUUGCAGAAUUCCAGUGAGUCAUCGAAUCUUUGAACGCACAUUGCGCCCUUUGGUAUUCCGAAGGGCAUGCCUGUUCGAGCGUCAUUAUCACCCCUCAAGCCCUCGGCUUGGUGUUGGACGGUUUGGUGGAGGCCCCCUCGGGGGUUCCUGCCCCUCCCAAAGACAAUGACGGCGGCCUCGUUGGACCCCCGGUACACUGAGUUCUACACGGGACACGUAUCGGACACAUGGGUUUACGGGACACGGUCUGCCUCCCCUCAGGGAGAAUCUUUCUAAGGUUGACCUCGGAUCAGGUAGGGAUACCCGCUGAACUUAAGCAUAUCAAUAAGCGGAGGA